Molecule: transfer RNA, 74 nt
Filed under: Pseudomonas nitroreducens
Lineage: Bacteria; Pseudomonadati; Pseudomonadota; Gammaproteobacteria; Pseudomonadales; Pseudomonadaceae
Description: tRNA-Gln
Rfam family: tRNA
About the family: Transfer RNA (tRNA) molecules are approximately 80 nucleotides in length.
Source: RNAcentral
GCCCUUUAGCCAAGUGGGAAGGCAGCGGGAUUUGACCCCGCCACGAGGUGGUUCGAUCCCACCAAGGGCCGCCA